RNAcentral lists this ribosomal RNA (2892 nucleotides) under Ralstonia solanacearum. RNAcentral describes it as "bacterial LSU rRNA". It matches the Rfam family "Bacterial large subunit ribosomal RNA". The record is from RNAcentral. RNAcentral also lists the same sequence under 1 other name. Lineage: Bacteria; Pseudomonadati; Pseudomonadota; Betaproteobacteria; Burkholderiales; Burkholderiaceae.
GUUAUAGGGUCAAGCGAAUAAGUGCAUGUGGUGGAUGCCUUGGCGAUCACAGGCGAUGAAGGACGUAGUAGCUUGCGAAAAGCUGCGGGGAGCUGGCAAACGAGCUUUGAUCCGCAGAUGUCCGAAUGGGGAAACCCGGCCCGUAUGGGUCAUCUGUUGCUGAAUACAUAGGUAACAGAGGCGAACGCAGUGAACUGAAACAUCUAAGUAGCUGCAGGAAAAGAAAUCAACCGAGAUUCCCAAAGUAGUGGCGAGCGAAAUGGGAUCAGCCUUGUACUCUUUAGCAGUAUUGUUAGCGGAACGGAAUGGAAAGUCCGGCCAUAGCGGGUGAUAGCCCCGUACGCGAAAACAGUAUUGUGGAACUAGGUGUACGACAAGUAGGGCGGGACACGUGAAAUCCUGUCUGAAGAUGGGGGGACCAUCCUCCAAGGCUAAAUACUCGUGAUCGACCGAUAGUGAACCAGUACCGUGAGGGAAAGGCGAAAAGAACCCCGGGAGGGGAGUGAAAUAGAUCCUGAAACCGCAUGCAUACAAACAGUCGGAGCCUGGAAACGGGUGACGGCGUACCUUUUGUAUAAUGGGUCAGCGACUUACAUUCAGUGGCAAGCUUAACCGAUUAGGGAAGGCGUAGCGAAAGCGAGUCCGAAUAGGGCGUUCAGUCGCUGGGUGUAGACCCGAAACCAAGUGAUCUAUCCAUGGCCAGGUUGAAGGUGCGGUAACACGUACUGGAGGACCGAACCCACUAACGUUGAAAAGUUAGGGGAUGAGCUGUGGAUAGGGGUGAAAGGCUAAACAAACUUGGAAAUAGCUGGUUCUCUCCGAAAACUAUUUAGGUAGUGCCUCGUGUCUCACCUUCGGGGGUAGAGCACUGUCAUGGUUGGGGGGUCUAUUGCUGAUUACCCCGCCAUAGCAAACUCCGAAUACCGAAGAGUGCAAUCACGGGAGACAGACAUCGGGUGCUAACGUCCGGUGUCAAGAGGGAAACAACCCAGACCGCCAGCUAAGGUCCCUAAGAUUGGCUAAGUGGGAAACGAAGUGGGAAGGCUAAAACAGUCAGGAGGUUGGCUUAGAAGCAGCCACCCUUUAAAGAAAGCGUAAUAGCUCACUGAUCGAGUCGUCCUGCGCGGAAGAUGUAACGGGGCUAAGCCAGUCACCGAAGCUGCGGAUGCACGUAAGUGCAUGGUAGGAGAGCGUUCUGUAAGCCUGUGAAGGUGUCUUGUGAAGGAUGCUGGAGGUAUCAGAAGUGCGAAUGCUGACAUGAGUAGCGAUAAAGGGGGUGAAAGGCCCCCUCGCCGUAAGCCCAAGGUUUCCUACGCAACGUUCAUCGGCGUAGGGUGAGUCGGCCCCUAAGGCGAGGCAGAGAUGCGUAGCUGAUGGGAAGCAGGUUAAUAUUCCUGCACCGUCGUAUGAUGCGAUGGGGGGACGGAUCGCGGAAGGUUGUCCGGGUGUUGGAUGUCCCGGUCCCUACAUUGGAGAUGGCACUUAGGCAAAUCCGGGUGCGUGAUUCAAGGGUGUGGGGCGAGCGACUUUAGGUCGCGAAGCAAUUGGAAGUGGUUCCAAGAAAAGCCUCUAAGCUUCAGUCAUACGAGACCGUACCGCAAACCGACACAGGUGGGCGAGAUGAGUAUUCUAAGGCGCUUGAGAGAACUCGGGAGAAGGAACUCGGCAAAUUGGUACCGUAACUUCGGGAUAAGGUACGCCCUUGUAGUUUGACUGGCUCGCGCCAGGAGGACGAAGGGGUUGCAAUAAAAUGGUGGCUGCGACUGUUUAAUAAAAACACAGCACUCUGCAAACACGAAAGUGGACGUAUAGGGUGUGACGCCUGCCCGGUGCCGGAAGAUUAAAUGAUGGGGUGCAAGCUCUUGAUUGAAGUCCCGGUAAACGGCGGCCGUAACUAUAACGGUCCUAAGGUAGCGAAAUUCCUUGUCGGGUAAGUUCCGACCUGCACGAAUGGCGUAACGAUGGCCACACUGUCUCCUCCCGAGACUCAGCGAAGUUGAAGUGUUUGUGAUGAUGCAAUCUCCCCGCGGCUAGACGGAAAGACCCCAUGAACCUUUACUGUAGCUUUGCAUUGGACUUUGAACCGAUCUGUGUAGGAUAGGUGGGAGGCUUUGAAACCGGGACGCUAGUUUCGGUGGAGCCGACCUUGAAAUACCACCCUGGUUUGUUUGAGGUUCUAACCUUGGCCCGUGAAUCCGGGUCGGGGACAGUGCAUGGUAGGCAGUUUGACUGGGGCGGUCUCCUCCCAAAGUGUAACGGAGGAGUUCGAAGGUACGCUUGGUACGGUCGGACAUCGUACCUAAAGUGCAAUGGCAAAAGCGUGCUUAACUGCGAGACCGACAAGUCGAGCAGGUGCGAAAGCAGGACAUAGUGAUCCGGUGGUUCUGUAUGGAAGGGCCAUCGCUCAACGGAUAAAAGGUACUCUGGGGAUAACAGGCUGAUACCGCCCAAGAGUUCAUAUCGACGGCGGUGUUUGGCACCUCGAUGUCGGCUCAUCUCAUCCUGGGGCUGUAGCCGGUCCCAAGGGUAUGGCUGUUCGCCAUUUAAAGAGGUACGUGAGCUGGGUUUAAAACGUCGUGAGACAGUUUGGUCCCUAUCUGCCGUGGGCGUUGGAAUCUUGACGGGGGCUGCUCCUAGUACGAGAGGACCGGAGUGGACGUACCGCUGGUGUACCUGUUGUCUCGCCAGAGGCAUCGCAGGGUAGCUAUGUACGGAAGAGAUAACCGCUGAAAGCAUCUAAGCGGGAAACUCGCCUGAAGAUGAGGAUUCCCUGGAGACUUGAUCUCCCUGAAGGGUCGUUCGAGACCAGGACGUUGAUAGGCUGGGUGUGGAAGCGCAGUAAUGCGUUCAGCUAACCAGUACUAAUUGCCCGUGCGGCUUGAUCCUAUAACC